RNAcentral lists this ribosomal RNA (2902 nucleotides) under Escherichia coli. RNAcentral describes it as "bacterial LSU rRNA". It matches the Rfam family "Bacterial large subunit ribosomal RNA". The record is from RNAcentral. Lineage: Bacteria; Pseudomonadati; Pseudomonadota; Gammaproteobacteria; Enterobacterales; Enterobacteriaceae.
UUAAGCGACUAAGCGUACACGGUGGAUGCCCUGGCAGUCAGAGGCGAUGAAGGACGUGCUAAUCUGCGAUAAGCGUCGGUAAGGUGAUAUGAACCGUUAUAACCGGCGAUUUCCGAAUGGGGAAACCCAGUGUGUUUCGACACACUAUCAUUAACUGAAUCCAUAGGUUAAUGAGGCGAACCGGGGGAACUGAAACAUCUAAGUACCCCGAGGAAAAGAAAUCAACCGAGAUUCCCCCAGUAGCGGCGAGCGAACGGGGAGCAGCCCAGAGCCUGAAUCAGUGUGUGUGUUAGUGGAAGCGUCUGGAAAGGCGCGCGAUACAGGGUGACAGCCCCGUACACAAAAAUGCACAUGCUGUGAGCUCGAUGAGUAGGGCGGGACACGUGGUAUCCUGUCUGAAUAUGGGGGGACCAUCCUCCAAGGCUAAAUACUCCUGACUGACCGAUAGUGAACCAGUACCGUGAGGGAAAGGCGAAAAGAACCCCGGCGAGGGGAGUGAAAAAGAACCUGAAACCGUGUACGUACAAGCAGUGGGAGCACGCUUAGGCGUGUGACUGCGUACCUUUUGUAUAAUGGGUCAGCGACUUAUAUUCUGUAGCAAGGUUAACCGAAUAGGGGAGCCGAAGGGAAACCGAGUCUUAACUGGGCGUUAAGUUGCAGGGUAUAGACCCGAAACCCGGUGAUCUAGCCAUGGGCAGGUUGAAGGUUGGGUAACACUAACUGGAGGACCGAACCGACUAAUGUUGAAAAAUUAGCGGAUGACUUGUGGCUGGGGGUGAAAGGCCAAUCAAACCGGGAGAUAGCUGGUUCUCCCCGAAAGCUAUUUAGGUAGCGCCUCGUGAAUUCAUCUCCGGGGGUAGAGCACUGUUUCGGCAAGGGGGUCAUCCCGACUUACCAACCCGAUGCAAACUGCGAAUACCGGAGAAUGUUAUCACGGGAGACACACGGCGGGUGCUAACGUCCGUCGUGAAGAGGGAAACAACCCAGACCGCCAGCUAAGGUCCCAAAGUCAUGGUUAAGUGGGAAACGAUGUGGGAAGGCCCAGACAGCCAGGAUGUUGGCUUAGAAGCAGCCAUCAUUUAAAGAAAGCGUAAUAGCUCACUGGUCGAGUCGGCCUGCGCGGAAGAUGUAACGGGGCUAAACCAUGCACCGAAGCUGCGGCAGCGACGCUGAUGCGUUGUUGGGUAGGGGAGCGUUCUGUAAGCCUGCGAAGGUGUGCUGUGAGGCAUGCUGGAGGUAUCAGAAGUGCGAAUGCUGACAUAAGUAACGAUAAAGCGGGUGAAAAGCCCGCUCGCCGGAAGACCAAGGGUUCCUGUCCAACGUUAAUCGGGGCAGGGUGAGUCGACCCCUAAGGCGAGGCCGAAAGGCGUAGUCGAUGGGAAACAGGUUAAUAUUCCUGUACUUGGUGUUACUGCGAAGGGGGGACGGAGAAGGCUAUGUUGGCCGGGCGACGGUUGUCCCGGUUUAAGCGUGUAGGCUGGUUUUCCAGGCAAAUCCGGAAAAUCAAGGCUGAGGCGUGAUGACGAGGCACUACGGUGCUGAAGCAACAAAUGCCCUGCUUCCAGGAAAAGCCUCUAAGCAUCAGGUAACAUCAAAUCGUACCCCAAACCGACACAGGUGGUCAGGUAGAGAAUACCAAGGCGCUUGAGAGAACUCGGGUGAAGGAACUAGGCAAAAUGGUGCCGUAACUUCGGGAGAAGGCACGCUGAUAUGUAGGUGAGGUCCCUCGCGGAUGGAGCUGAAAUCAGUCGAAGAUACCAGCUGGCUGCAACUGUUUAUUAAAAACACAGCACUGUGCAAACACGAAAGUGGACGUAUACGGUGUGACGCCUGCCCGGUGCCGGAAGGUUAAUUGAUGGGGUCAGCGCAAGCGAAGCUCUUGAUCGAAGCCCCGGUAAACGGCGGCCGUAACUAUAACGGUCCUAAGGUAGCGAAAUUCCUUGUCGGGUAAGUUCCGACCUGCACGAAUGGCGUAAUGAUGGCCAGGCUGUCUCCACCCGAGACUCAGUGAAAUUGAACUCGCUGUGAAGAUGCAGUGUACCCGCGGCAAGACGGAAAGACCCCGUGAACCUUUACUAUAGCUUGACACUGAACAUUGAGCCUUGAUGUGUAGGAUAGGUGGGAGGCUUUGAAGUGUGGACGCCAGUCUGCAUGGAGCCGACCUUGAAAUACCACCCUUUAAUGUUUGAUGUUCUAACGUUGACCCGUAAUCCGGGUUGCGGACAGUGUCUGGUGGGUAGUUUGACUGGGGCGGUCUCCUCCUAAAGAGUAACGGAGGAGCACGAAGGUUGGCUAAUCCUGGUCGGACAUCAGGAGGUUAGUGCAAUGGCAUAAGCCAGCUUGACUGCGAGCGUGACGGCGCGAGCAGGUGCGAAAGCAGGUCAUAGUGAUCCGGUGGUUCUGAAUGGAAGGGCCAUCGCUCAACGGAUAAAAGGUACUCCGGGGAUAACAGGCUGAUACCGCCCAAGAGUUCAUAUCGACGGCGGUGUUUGGCACCUCGAUGUCGGCUCAUCACAUCCUGGGGCUGAAGUAGGUCCCAAGGGUAUGGCUGUUCGCCAUUUAAAGUGGUACGCGAGCUGGGUUUAGAACGUCGUGAGACAGUUCGGUCCCUAUCUGCCGUGGGCGCUGGAGAACUGAGGGGGGCUGCUCCUAGUACGAGAGGACCGGAGUGGACGCAUCACUGGUGUUCGGGUUGUCAUGCCAAUGGCACUGCCCGGUAGCUAAAUGCGGAAGAGAUAAGUGCUGAAAGCAUCUAAGCACGAAACUUGCCCCGAGAUGAGUUCUCCCUGACCCUUUAAGGGUCCUGAAGGAACGUUGAAGACGACGACGUUGAUAGGCCGGGUGUGUAAGCGCAGCGAUGCGUUGAGCUAACCGGUACUAAUGAACCGUGAGGCUUAACCUU